Molecule: long non-coding RNA, 1842 nt
Filed under: Anas platyrhynchos platyrhynchos (common mallard)
Lineage: Eukaryota; Metazoa; Chordata; Aves; Anseriformes; Anatidae
Description: lncRNA (ENSAPLG00000026504.1)
Source: RNAcentral
AGGAAACCUCCGCCUACAAGGCAUUACAAAUCUGAGCUAGAGAAUGACUGUUCAGUGAAACACAUAGUAAAUAAAAUGCAAAUCAUAAAACAUGAAGAAAAAAAAAUGUUGGUGUUGCCUCAAGACUGAGAAAGGUUGACAUGUGAGGAGCAGCAAAAUCCCAGGAGUUAUUUUCAGGCCAGGUGAACCUCGGGGCAUGGGUAAGCUGGGACGAAUGGUGCCACAACCCAGUCCGCCAGCUUGCUGCUCUCCCAAAGCCCGACCAGCUUUCAAAAUAAUAUUUUAAGUCUCUCUUUUCCACUUUUUUUAUCUGCAGCUGCAGUGAGCAAUCCUUAAAUGACUGAGUUUUCCCUUCAAAACCAUCUGUUCAGGGCACUGAACUAAUCCUCUUCCAGGGGCACCGCAGCCUGGACCCCUCAAACACCGCUGUCACCAGGCUCUCCAGCACCGUGGGGGCAGGAUUAGUCCUGCAACAUGACCUCUGCCAGCGCCCUCUGCUCAGCACGCUCCGGGCUGAUUUUCCAUGGCCAGCAAUGCCUUCAAGAGGAAUUUCUUUUGACGCAUCCAGUGGGGAAGAAAGCACUGUCAAGAGGGCUUUAAAAAAAGUGAAAGUGCUGCUGGCUGAUGCGUUUUCAGGAAUCCCAGUGCUCAGGGGACACCACAGCUGCCAGAAAAACACGUCUGGGACGGAGCGUGGUGCGCUGUGCUGCCAAGUGCGAGGCCGGGAUCAAGAGGAGCAUCUGUAUUCACAUUUCCCACAUCUGUACUGGCGUUUCCCACACUGUCAGGAGGCUGGCAGCGUUGCGCCGAUGACAGCUCUAAUCGGGAGGAGGGCAGUGUGACGGGUGGUGGAGGGAGGUGGCCUUUGCCGGCACUGAGAGCACUGCCCACAUCAGCAAGCAUCGCAGGCACCGAGAACCAGCGACUGUACGGCGAACAAUUAGUGGCCCAGAUCUGAGAGCUACAAAAUCCCAGGAGGGGUGCUAAGGAACAUUUGUGCUCCCCGUGCUCAGACACCAAUUUUGUGCAAUUGUUUCUUUGAAACUGAAAAGGAACGGAGUGCAGACCCAUAUGGAAAAUGAUGCUGUGCAUCCAUGCGGACAUAUUCCAAGCAUACCGUGGGACAUAAGAUCUGAAGGAGGAAGAACUGGAAAAUUAUUUAUGCACGGUGAAAUGCAGCAUGCAGGCAGCCAAGAUUACUCAGUGCAGCUGAAGUUCAAACUGGAACAUGGCUUUGGCAGGAAAAAAGUAUUAAGAAAUUGUUUCUGAAAUUUCAUUAAUAUCUAGCUGGUUCAUCUUGACGCUUCCAAAAGGAAAUACUUCUUAUGGGGAAAAGAAAUUCAAAUUCAGUUCACUAGGGGACUCAAGCACCAUUUUGCAAGGAGAGGAGCACACACACACACAUAUAUAAUGUGCCGUCAAAGUGGUUAAAUACAAAAUGAUUAAAUAAUGUUAGCAUAUUAGCUAUUCAUUGAUGCGGGGACUCCACCUUCCCAAGGGGAUGUCCUCCCCUUGAGACUGCGGUGUCCCUUGUACUCUGACUGCAGGGAUGCCGAGUCACAUCGCGGGGACACCGUCACACAGCAUCCCCCGGGAUGUGCUGCUGGGCUAAUAGCUGGACACUGUCCAACAGCAUGAAAUGCUCUGCCUCAGCCUCUUUCUGCAGCAUAAGCAUUAUUGAACUCCACUCUAAUAUUUGUUGUUGUAUGCCUUCAGCCACCAGUUUUAGUUCCUGAGGUGUCUUAGCACCUCUCUGGUGACAGCAGUAGAGAUGCGCCUUUAGUUCCUUUGUGAAUCCAGAUCUGGAUCCCUUGUCUAAGGAACAGGACCCAUUUUUUCUUG